AAGAAACUGGCCACAGAGAGAGGAAUCGACCUCUCACAGGUGAAAGGUGAGGCAUCUUUUCCGAGGUCACAUCAGCCCCCUAAAAUGGUUUGGUUGCCUCUUGGGUGAGAGAGAUCCUGUUUUCCCUUGCACGUCUCAUCAGGUACAGGGCCAGAUGGACGGAUCACCAAGAAGGACAUCGACUGCUCGGCCGUCUAAAGUUGCCCCGGCCCGGCCGCCGGAUGCAGCCCCUCUGGCUGUGCCGGCUCCCGCAGCUGCCCCCACAGGUGUCUUCACUGAUAUUCCCAUCAGUAAUAUCCUAAAGGUAAGUCAAAGCCUUGGCGCUCGCAUGCCACAGGCAAACAGACAGAUUGAACAGGGUUUAGCCUUGGCCUCUGUACGAUGCGAAUUGAAGCCCGCACAUCUUACAAUGGUCAAGGAUUAGGUUAGGUUAGACUAUGUAAAGAUAGACAGGCAGAUAUAAAAGAUAGAUUGAUUGAUAGAUAGCUAUAAAAGAUAGACAGAUAUAAAAGAGAUAGAUGAUACAGACAGGAGAGAGAGAGGAAGGAAGGAAGGAAAGAAAGAAAGAGAGAAAGAAAAAAGAAAGGGAAGGAAGGAAGGAAGAAGGAAAGAAAAAGAAAGAAAUGAAUGAAUGGGAAAUUCAACUUCUGAGUUGGUGAUGGGGGACAUUUGCAUUCAAAGGUCCCUCCGGACAGAGAAAGUUGGAGUAAGAAUUAGGCAGAAAUGAUUAGACAAAGCUGACAUCAGGGACCAAGUUUUUGGAGGACAUUGUUAACUAAUAGUUGGGGAUCUGCUUUUCUGGAUAUUUGAACAAUGGUGCACCAAAAACUCCCAGCUUUAGUCUGGUCUACAUUAAAGUGGUUAACUUCAUCUUUAAGUAAUGUUGCCUUCUUAUGUGUAUCCUGCUUUCUUUAUUCUUAGGUGAUUGCCCAGCGUUUGAUGCAGUCUAAGCAAACGAUACCUCACUAUUAUCUCUGUUGAUGUCAACAUGGGAGAAAUAUUGGUGCUGAGGAAAGAGCUCAACCAGGUAGCUUAAUGACUGUGACUUAUGCAGCAAACUGGAUGUUUAUGCGGUUCUGCCUCUCUUAUCCUUCCAAUUAGCUGGAUAUUUCCUCAAGUUUGCAUUUCUAGGAGGUGGAGAAUGUAAGGGAGAGAUACUGUAAUUCAUUCAGGGCUAAUUCCACAGGAAACCACAAACUGUACGCUUAAAAGAAGUAACACUUAAAUGUGAUAAAUCAAAUUAAACCUCUGGGCUUUAAAGGAAAGAAAAAGCAUUUCUUUGUAGAACUUGGCUUUGAGAAAAAUAUGUGCGUUCCGUUUGGACAGCAUAGGAACAGCAAGAUGUGGAUGGAAUCCCAGUUUCUUAGCUGGGUUGUUCUGGCUGCAUAAUCCCAAGUGUUGCAGUUCUGAUGGCAAUAGGAUCACACACAUCUGGCUGUUGGUUUUCUUGAAUGAAGUGCUUUCCUGAUACAUGGGCUUCAGUUCCCAGAAUUCUCCAGCCAGCUGGGACAUUGCUGAAAAACCCUGGGAAUUGAAAGUCGGUUGUUUCUGGAGGUUCUCCAGUUGGGAAGAGAAUAAUUCUUUGGUAACUUUGCUCACUGAUCAAUUUGACCAGCAUUUCUUCCCUUGGCUGUUCCUCUCCAGGAGAUGCCACAGAAUACCAAACUCUCAGUCAACGACUUCAUUAUCAAAGCCGCUCUGGCAUGUUUGAAGGUGCCUGAAGCGAAUUCUUCAUGGUUAGAAACAGUCAUUAGGCAGUAAGUAUGACAGAUGGUCCAGGCAGGGGUGAAGGUUUGGCUCCUCCUAGAAGGCCAGUUAGACCAUUGAAAUUUCAAGCAGCAUCUUUGCCCUAUGGUUUUGUGAGUGGUUGUGGAUUCUCCCAACGGGACCCAUUUUCUGUCUUUCAGAAAUCACGUAGUUGAUGUAAGCGUGGCAGUCAGUACACCAGCAGGGCUUAUAACGCCAAUUGUGUUUAAUGCACACACCAAGGGGUUGGCCACCAUUAACCAAGAUGUCGUG
This 2019-nucleotide long non-coding RNA is filed under the name Naja naja (Indian cobra). RNAcentral's name for it is "lncRNA (ENSNNAG00000007993.1)". The record is from RNAcentral. Lineage: Eukaryota; Metazoa; Chordata; Lepidosauria; Squamata; Elapidae.